Molecule: long non-coding RNA, 2597 nt
Organism: Vitis vinifera (wine grape)
Lineage: Eukaryota; Viridiplantae; Streptophyta; Magnoliopsida; Vitales; Vitaceae
Exons: 2
Source: RefSeq, a predicted model, not a curated record
AUAGAAUUAGGAAACAGAAGUGGGGGUACUCCAGUAAUUGAAGGAAGGGAGCUUCCCUAUAAAGGCUUUGAGAAAAAACCCUAAGAAGCAUCCCCAUCUCUCAGUCCCAUUCAUUCACAAUUCAAACUUGAAGCCCUGAUGGGAGUGGUCAGGGCUCAGGGUUCUUCUUCAUCUACACUUCUUCAAAUCCAAAGAAAUCUGGGUCUCACGCCGCUCGAAUAACCGGAAGGUGGAAGAAGAGCAUCACCAUUCGGUUCAGACAGUGGCUAAUAACAAAAGGGGACUGAUAAAAAGGUCCUCUUCCGAAUCUGUUUGAGGGUAAGGAACCAUUCUCUUCAGCCAGUCCUUUCCUAGUUUGGUUCGGAUAUUCUCUCUUAUUUUGAUAAUUGAUUUACAUAUGGGCAAUCCAGAGCAACCUCUCUGGUGUUUUCCAGGAGGUUUUCUUGAAGCAAAUCAUGGCUUCAACCAGGAACCCUACUUGGACAGGCCCAAAAAAACAUAUUAUCUGAAUUAAAUUUGGAUUGAGCUUGGUUUGGGGCCCAAGCAAAACUAGCCCAGCCCAAAUUUCAUUAUAUUUAUAUAAAAUAUAAAUGUAUAUAAAAUUUGGAUCAUAUAUAUAAUCUAAAUGGUAUUAGUGGUAACACUGAUACCCAAUUUAAUUAUCAUACUAAGAUAUUUUUAUCCUUAUAAUGAUAUUUAAACUUAGUGAAGUUUUAAUAUAAUUUCUAUUUUUUGCUUUUAAAAAUAGAAUGUCUUAUAUAAGAAAGUAGGUACAUUUAUUGAACUUGAAAACACUUUCAAAUUUUUAAAAAAUUUAAGGCCCUUGUUUGGUAAUUGUUUCCGAAAACAAGUUUGGAAAACAAUUUUUGAUUAUGGUAUUUAAAAAUUAUUCAAUAAGCAAAAAUAAUAAAAAUAAUUAAAAGAUGUUUUUAAAAAUACCAUGUUUUUUGUUUUUAAUAAAAAAGCAAAAACAGAUUUUAGUUGUCAAAUGUAUUUUUUUCUUGUUUUUAUGUUUUAAAGAAUAUAAAACUGUUGUCGACAAUGAAAUAAGGAAUGAUUAAUUGGUUUUACCCUUUUUUUUUACUGUAAUAAUCUUGUAAGUUUUUCUUUUACCUUGUUAAAUAAGUCAUUCUUUCUUUUACUUGCAACCUAUUGUUUGAAUAAUCAAUUUUGAACUUCAAUUUAUUCUUGGAACAUUUAGGAAAAAUAAAUCUUAUUUUUGAAUUGUAAUGGUGAACUUGGAAAUUGCUUAGAAAUGUCCUAUUUUUAAUUAUUAUUUUAAAGAUUUUAUUCAUUCUAUUGGUUGUAUUAGUUAUUAUGAACUUGGAAGCCCAAUCAUACAUACCCAUUUUUGUAAAAGCCCAGAAAGAAAAAAACCCAAAGAAAAGCCCAUUAAACUGUAGAAGAAGUGACCCCCUUUGAUUUGGCUUGGUUGAUUGUUGGUGGCUGGAAGUGGAAGGGCCACGCUGACAUGAAAUGCUGGCUGAAUACAGAAGAGCCCAGGUGCAUAGCACCAAACACAUACUUCCAAUGGCCCCCAUCACAUUCUUCAUUUCCAUUGAAAACCACCCCCACUCUCACGUUCACAAACAGCACCCACCCACUCCACACAACCCAUGGGACCUCCCUUUCUGGGGUGGGUCACUCCCCAAUAAAUCUCUUUUGUUUUUAUACUUUUGCUCUUCAACACCCUUGCAUCCUUCCCUCUCAUGUCCACUAUGAAAAUAUCUCCACUCCAUUGGCUUAAUCUCAUCACCCAUGUUCUUUCAUUUGCCCCAGAAAUACAUUAUUAUGCAUCUUAAUCAUUCCCCUCCCAAGUCAAUUCAUUACUUGCCUAACCUUCCUUUGGAAAAGUCCACUGUCAUCAUCCUCCUACAAUACAUAUUUAUAUGUAAAAUAGGCAGUGGUUGACAAGUGGACAGGGCACUGGUGUCUAACUCCCACCCACAAAACAAGCAUAUAAGGAACCAACUUGUAUGGUAUGGCAGUUUUUUUAUUAUAUAGCCAGAAGGGGUCCUAUAAUACAAACAGAAAUAGGAAUCUAUAUAUGCACAUACAGUAACAGAUAUAUAAAGAUCCUGCAGGUGCAGAUCCAGGUGUCUGAUAAUUGUUGAGUCACAGCGAACCCAUCUUGAAGAUACUGCUCAGAGACCAUCAUAGUAGCCACCAAAGGUUAUAUGAGCUCUGGUGAGGGGAACUCCUCUCACUGCAGAAAAUGCUUCAUUCAAUUGUGUUGCAUGGUGAACCACUCGCUUGAUCCUCUGCAACCAUGUAAUUAAUUUGAGAAAUUUGAAGAAUUGUAAAUAAAGAGAAUAGAAUAAUAUAUUGGGGAAGAAAUUGAAUUGGGAAUAUGAAAUUUAUUUGAGAGGGAAUUGACCUUGUCGUCAGUGAUGAUCUGAAACCGAAGCCUUUGGUUGUGUUGGUGGUGUUUGUUUCUUUGGCUGCUGGCGAAGAUGAUAAUGCAGAUGGUAGUAGCAGCAACCCCGAAGGAGCAGAGGGCACCGAUCCCAGUUAAGCUCCACUUCCAUACGUUGAACCGACCGCUGCUCUCUGUCCAACUGCCCUCUUCAUCUUCUUUGAUAUCUGGGCCCGGAGCC